UAUGACCAUAUCACGUCGAAUCACCAGUUCUCGCCCGAUCACCUAAGUUAAGCAAACUUCAAUCUGGUUAGUAUUUAGAUGGGUGACCGAUGGGGAAUACCAGAUGGUGUAAG
Molecule: non-coding RNA, 113 nt
Organism: Acanthosepion pharaonis
Lineage: Eukaryota; Metazoa; Mollusca; Cephalopoda; Sepiida; Sepiidae
Source: the annotation of a GenBank genome assembly